GAACUACUGAGGAGUCCCACAAUAGGACGAAACGGCCGUCCAGUGU
This 46-nucleotide non-coding RNA is filed under the name Schistosoma curassoni. The record is from RNAcentral. Lineage: Eukaryota; Metazoa; Platyhelminthes; Trematoda; Strigeidida; Schistosomatidae.